GGCGUAAAGCGAGCGCAGGCGGUCUUUUAAGUCUAAUGUGAAAGCCUUCGGCUCAACCGAAGAAGUGCAUUGGAAACUGGGAGACUUGAGUGCAGAAGAGGACAGUGGAACUCCAUGUGUAGCGGUGAAAUGCGUAGAUAUAUGGAAGAACACCAGUGGCGAAGGCGGCUGUCUGGUCUGCAACUGACGCUGAGGCUCGAAAGCAUGGGUAGCGAACAGGAUUAGAUACCCUGGUAGUCCAUGCCGUAAACGAUGAUUACUAAGUGUUGGAGGGUUUCCGCCCUUCAGUGCUGCAGCUAACGCAUUAAGUAAUCCGCCUGGGGAGUACGACCGCAAGGUUGAAACUCAAAAGAAUUGACGGGGGCCCGCACAAGCGGUGGAGCAUGUGGUUUAAUUCGAAGCUACGCGAAGAACCUUACCAGGUCUUGACAUCUUCUGACAGUCUAAGAGAUUAGAGGUUCCCUUCGGGGACAGAAUGACAGGUGGUGCAUGGUUGUCGUCAGCUCGUGUCGUGAGAUGUUGGGUUAAGUCCCGCAACGAGCGCAACCCUUAUUACUAGUUGCCAGCAUUAAGUUGGGCACUCUAGUGAGACUGCCGGUGACAAACCGGAGGAAGGUGGGGACGACGUCAAAUCAUCAUGCCCCUUAUGACCUGGGCUACACACGUGCUACAAUGGAUGGUACAACGAGUCGCGAAACCGCGAGGUUAAGCUAAUCUCUUAAAACCAUUCUCAGUUCGGACUGUAGGCUGCAACUCGCCUACACGAAGUCGGAAUCGCUAGUAAUCGCGGAUCAGCAUGCCGCGGUGAAUACGUUCCCGGGCCUUGUACACACCGCCCGUCACACCAUGAGAGUUUGUAACACCCAAAGC
This 870-nucleotide ribosomal RNA is filed under the name Pediococcus pentosaceus. Its description in RNAcentral is "bacterial SSU rRNA". It matches the Rfam family "Bacterial small subunit ribosomal RNA", at positions 557 to 1427 of the family's 1533-position model. The record is from RNAcentral. Lineage: Bacteria; Bacillati; Bacillota; Bacilli; Lactobacillales; Lactobacillaceae.